CCGUUGGUGAACCAGCGGAGGGAUCAUUAAUGAGUUGCAAAACUCCAACCCUUGCGUACCUAACCGUCGUCGUUGCUUCGGCGGGCCCGCCCGCCGGAGGUCACAAACAACUCUGUAUCUCCAGUAUCUCUGAGCACAUACAAAAAAAUAAUCAAAACUUUCAACAACGGAUCUCUUGGCUCUGGCAUCGAUGAAGAACGCAGCGAAAUGCGAUAAGUAAUGUGAAUUGCAGAAUUCAGUGAAUCAUCGAAUCUUUGAACGCACAUUGCGCCCGCCGGUAUUCCGGCGGGCACGCCUGUCCGAGCGUCAUUUCAACCCUCAAGCCCAGGCUUGGUGUUGGGGCGCCCGGGUCCCUCGUCGGGCCCGGGGCCCCCAAGUCCAUCGGCGGUCGCGUCUGGACCCUGAGCGCAGUAACUCGCGGUAAAACGCAGCCUCGCUCGGCCCGUCCCGUCGCGCUCCUGCCGCUAAACCCCCCAAAAAUCACAAGGUGACC
The sequence is a ribosomal RNA, 493 nucleotides long. The stretch from base 156 to 309 matches the Rfam family "5.8S ribosomal RNA".